Molecule: ribosomal RNA, 401 nt
Filed under: uncultured bacterium
Lineage: Bacteria
Description: bacterial SSU rRNA
Rfam family: Bacterial small subunit ribosomal RNA
Source: RNAcentral
GGGGAAUAUUGCGCAAUGGGGGGAACCCUGACGCAGCAACGCCGCGUGAGCGAGGAAGGCCUUCGGGUCGUAAAGCUCUGUCUAGAGGGAUGAAUGAUGACAGUACCUCUGGAGGAAGCCCCGGCUAACUACGUGCCAGCAGCCGCGGUAACACGUAGGGGGCGAGCGUUGUCCGGAAUUACUGGGCGUAAAGGGCGCGUAGGCGGUAGGUUAAGUCGGAUGUGAAAGUCCAUGGCUCAACCAUGGAAUUGCAUAUGAAACUGAUCUACUUGAGUUCAGGAGAGGAGAGCGGAAUUCCUAGUGUAGCGGUGAAAUGCGUAGAGAUUAGGAAGAACACCAGUGGCGAAGGCGGCUCUCUGGACUGUAACUGACGCUGAGGCGCGAAAGCGUGGGUAGCGAAC